ACUCCUACGGGAGGCAGCAGAGGGGAAUAUUGGACAAUGGGGGCAACCCUGAUCCAGCCAUGCCGCGUGUGUGAAGAAGGCCUUUUGGUUGUAAAGCACUUUAAGCAGGGAGGAGAGGCUAAUGGUUAAUACCCAUUAGAUUAUACGUUACCUGCAGAAUAAGCACCGGCUAACUCUGUGCCAGCAGCCGCGGUAAUACAGAGGGUGCGAGCGUUAAUCGGAAUUACUGGGCGUAAAGCGAGUGUAGGUGGCUCAUUAAGUCACAUGUGAAAUCCCCGGGCUUAACCUGGGAACUGCAUGUGAUACUGGUGGUGCUAGAAUAUGUGAGAGGGAAGUAGAAUUCCAGGUGUAGCGGUGAAAUGCGUAGAGAUCUGGAGGAAUACCGAUGGCGAAGGCAGCUUCCUGGCAUAAUAUUGACACUGAGAUUCGAAAGCGUGGGUAGCAAACAGGAUUAGAUACCCUGGUAGGAUAGCGU
This 475-nucleotide ribosomal RNA is filed under the name uncultured bacterium. RNAcentral's name for it is "bacterial SSU rRNA". It matches the Rfam family "Bacterial small subunit ribosomal RNA", at positions 335 to 800 of the family's 1533-position model. The record is from RNAcentral.